GUGAGGAAUCUUGCGCAAUGGGGGAAACCCUGACGCAGCGACACCGCGUGCGGGAAGAAGGCCCUCGGGUCGUAAACCGCUUUUCUGUGGGACGAGGAAGGACGGUACCACAGGAAUAAGUCCCGGCUAACUACGUGCCAGCAGCCGCGGUAAAACGUAGGGGGCGAGCGUUAUCCGGAAUUACUGGGCGUAAAGGGCGUCUAGGCGGCGAGGUAAGUCUCAUGUGAAAGCUCCCGGCUCAACUGGGAGAGGGCGUGGGAGACUGCCUGGCUAGAGUGUCGGAGGGGGGUGUGGAAUUCCCGGUGGAGUGGUGGAAUGCGUUGAGAUCGGGAGGAACACCAGAAGCGAAGGCGGCACCCUGGCCGACUACUGACGCUGAAGCGCGAAAGCGUGGGGAGCGAACGGGAUUAGAAACCCCAGUAGUCC
RNAcentral lists this ribosomal RNA (426 nucleotides) under uncultured bacterium. Its description in RNAcentral is "bacterial SSU rRNA". It matches the Rfam family "Bacterial small subunit ribosomal RNA", at positions 354 to 796 of the family's 1533-position model. The record is from RNAcentral.